This 138-nucleotide microRNA precursor is filed under the name Drosophila guanche. The record is from RNAcentral. Lineage: Eukaryota; Metazoa; Arthropoda; Insecta; Diptera; Drosophilidae.
AGAUGGAGCGACUGGCAAGAGCGAGAGAGAGCAGCGAGGGCGAACCACCACCAACGCGGGCAGAGAUUGUUGCCAUGUUUCUGUUUCUCUCUCUCUCACUCUCACUCUCACUCUCUCGCUUGCUGUUCGUCUCUCUUU